UACGAAGGGGGCUAGCGUUGUCCGGAAUCAUUGGGCGUAAAGGGCGCGUAGGCGGCCAUGACAAGUCACUUGUGAAAUCUCCGGGCUUAACUCGGAACGGUCAAGUGAUACUGUCGGGCUAGAGUGCAGAAGGGGCAACUGGAAUUCUCGGUGUAGCGGUGAAAUGCGUAGAUAUCGAGAGGAACACCUGCGGCGAAGGCGGGUUGCUGGGCUGACACUGACGCUGAGGCGCGAAAGCCAGGGGAGCGAACGGG
This 254-nucleotide ribosomal RNA is filed under the name uncultured bacterium. RNAcentral's name for it is "partial 16S ribosomal RNA". It matches the Rfam family "Bacterial small subunit ribosomal RNA", at positions 524 to 776 of the family's 1533-position model. The record is from RNAcentral.